This 1311-nucleotide long non-coding RNA is filed under the name Helianthus annuus (common sunflower). Its description in RNAcentral is "hypothetical non coding rna". Lineage: Eukaryota; Viridiplantae; Streptophyta; Magnoliopsida; Asterales; Asteraceae. The record is from RNAcentral.
UCAUACCAGAAUUCCUUUUCCUCCUCUUCUUCAAAGAAUGAGAGAAGAUUCCAGAGACUUUUUCCGAUCUCUUCAUCUGGUGGUGUGCUUUUUGAUUGAUUAGAUCUUGCCGCUGCUGUUACAUUUCUUCCGGCGAGUUCUCCGUCGAAGGGUUUAGUUUAUAGUUGAGCUUAGGUAUGGAAGAUGGGAGCGCAUCAAGACAGAGUUCUUCAACUACCUAUGCCACAAUGGUAAGUUUUUUAUUUUUUAAUAUAUCAUAUAUACUUCAUUUGUUUCACAAAAAGAGAAUGAGAAUUCCAUGAGCACGACCCCGGCGAACUAUGGUUGUUGCCGACCACAAAUUGUGAAGAUAGCGAUGAUCAUGGCUUGAAAAAACAUCGAAUUGAGUGAGUGGAAUUUAAGAUGACCUCAUCAGAUGUUGUGUAAGAGUAAUGGAUUAAGGAAACAAAGUAGCGGGUGUGACAUCCUCCGGGUUCCGUUGAUGAAUUAGUCACUGUUCUUGACGCAAGCCCUAAUUUUGAGUUUUGUUUACGUUUCGUGUUUUAGUAUGUUUUCCUUUAGUUUCUCAUAUGACACUGCGCAUUUUUUAGCAAGUCAGUUAGUUGCCAAUCUGUAGCAGAGCUUUUUAAGGCCAUUUUGUAUUUACACCAUUUUCUCAUGUUUAUCAAUCUACAGGUACUAAGGAGGCAUGCUGUGAAUAUUUAUCUGAUAGCCCUUUUGAAUGGUGGCACAAGGGUGCUUGCUUCUUAUUCAUGUGGGAUGGAAGAGUGAGCAAUCUUUUCCUCAAAUGGUUCACAACAUAUAUAUGAAGGUAGCAAGAAUGGCUUUAUAAAUAUAUGGAUCUACGUGGUGGAGGAUCAUUAGUUGCUUUUCAAAUUUACAAGGAGUGGCAUCAGGUUUUCUCGACACUCCGAUCGGGCAAAUACUGGAGAGGCUGCAAGCACUUGGAAUUUUCUGAACCUAGAACCAUCCAUAUUUAGCCGGCUGUUGCUGAAUUUGUUUAUUAGUCUUUGCAGAUGCUCACGUUUUGCAGAGAUGAUGAUGAUGGGGAGAUGGUUUCAAAGAAAAAGAACCCAUGAAGAGAUUGUGAACUUGGAGAAGAAGCAUUGAGAAGGGCGGGCAAUACUUGAAGUGUAUUUUAGAAGGCGAAUUAUAGUGGUAGUGUUAAAAAAAAAAAGACAGGUUUGGGUUGAAAUACUUUGGCGUAAUCUGUUGGGCAUGAAAGCUGGCUAGACUAUAAUUUUUUUUAUGGAUAUUACAUAACAUUUAUGGAUUUUGUAUAGUAAACUCUUGAAACAGAGUGUUAUUUUC